This is a ribosomal RNA of Myotis lucifugus (little brown bat), 116 nucleotides long. The record is from Ensembl. NCBI's taxonomy places the organism in Eukaryota, Metazoa, Chordata, Mammalia, Chiroptera, Vespertilionidae.
GUCUGCCGCCACACCACCCUGAACACUCCUGACCUUCUGAUCUGGCCUGACCUUCUAAGCUAAGCAGGGUCAGGCCUGGUUAGUAGUUGGAGAGGAGAAUCCGGGUGCUGUGGGCU